This is a non-coding RNA of Arvicanthis niloticus (Nile rat), 112 nucleotides long. NCBI's taxonomy places the organism in Eukaryota, Metazoa, Chordata, Mammalia, Rodentia, Muridae. The record is from RefSeq and is a predicted model, not a curated record.
UGCCAGGACGACAAAGUGAGUUCAGGACAGUGUGUGACUUUCUGACCUCCUACAUGCCCAACUCAGAGAUAGGCUCCUAUGCUCAAGUGUGUUCUUCUGUGAGAAUAAGAAU